UAGGGAAUAUUGGGCAAUGGGCGAGAGCCUGACCCAGCCAUGCCGCGUGCAGGAUGAAGGCCUUCUGGGUUGUAAACUGCUUUUCUCAGGGAAGAAAAAGGGGAUGCGUCCCAAACUGACGGUACCUGAGGAAUAAGCACCGGCUAACUCCGUGCCAGCAGCCGCGGUAAUACGGAGGGUGCAAGCGUUGUCCGGAUUUAUUGGGUUUAAAGGGUGCGUAGGUGGCCCGUUAAGUCCGGGGUGAAAGCCUCUUGCUCAACAAGAGAACUGCCCUGGAUACUGGCGGGCUUGAGUCCAGACGAGGUUGGCGGAAUGGAUGGUGUAGCGGUGAAAUGCAUAGAUACCAUCCAGAACCCCGAUUGCGUAGGCAGCUGACUAGGCUGGUACUGACACUGAGGCACGAAAGCGUGGGGAGCGAACAG
RNAcentral lists this ribosomal RNA (422 nucleotides) under uncultured bacterium. RNAcentral's name for it is "bacterial SSU rRNA". It matches the Rfam family "Bacterial small subunit ribosomal RNA", at positions 355 to 775 of the family's 1533-position model. The record is from RNAcentral.